Molecule: long non-coding RNA, 914 nt
Filed under: Gossypium barbadense (sea-island cotton)
Lineage: Eukaryota; Viridiplantae; Streptophyta; Magnoliopsida; Malvales; Malvaceae
Description: long non-coding RNA (GBAR_LNC001632)
Source: RNAcentral
CCUAAAAUGAUAAAUAAAAAGAAAACCCCAUUAUUUAUUUGGUAGCAUCCUCAAUAUCUGAUAUUGUUUCCACGCCCCCACGACCUUUUGUUCGCCUAGUUCCCCUUUCUGGAGUAGUGAAAUCAUCGUGCCUAGUUUCCAGAGUUGGAGUCCAACGGUCGAAGAUAAAAUCUAGGAAUUCAGGCACAAAAUCAAAUGGGUUACUUGAUAGUUUUCUAAAUGCAUCCCUUAUCAAGUUGUCUCAAAUUUUUGCAUAUCUCUAAUAAACUUGCUACUGUCGGUGCAUAUAUUGUGGCAUAUCCAUGACUGCAAAUUGAUCUGAAUAUGCAAUAACUUUAGAUGAUAGGAAGGUGGGUGUUGAUUUUGUCCAUUUGGGAAUAACAUGUUCAGUUGGCGUGGCAAAGUUAGGAUGAGUAGUUGAUUUUGGCUUAGGAUUUGGUUCCGACUUAAUGGAUGAUCGGGUGGUUUUGCCUCAGAUGGUUCAUCAACUGGUUGCUUCUGCCUAGUAAUAUCACCCACUAUUCUAGUAACAUCGCUUUCUGUUAUAUGACAUUGUUGGUUUCUUUCUUUGAGAUCCACCUUUGGAAGUAUGAAGGCUUGCAAGCAUAACAAAGUCAAUUAAUGAUGGAAAACGCGCAUAGCCAGCCCGCUUAACAGCACACUCCUGGAUCUUUUUGUAGAUAAUUUUUCCCACGUCGAUGGACUUUUCUACCAUGAUAGCAUAUAGCAAAAGCAUACAUUCCAUCGAGAUAGUGGAACUGUGUGAGAUAGACAUAAGACUGAAUCGUAUGAAAUAAAACCAUACCUUUGUUGUUGGGUUCAAAAACACUGUUCAGCAAGUAUGAGUACCAGAUUUAGAAGUUAUCCAUUUAGUUCCAGGAACUGUAACUUCUUUUAGUACCUCUUUCAGAAAC